This 1780-nucleotide non-coding RNA is filed under the name Pongo abelii (Sumatran orangutan). The record is from RNAcentral. Lineage: Eukaryota; Metazoa; Chordata; Mammalia; Primates; Hominidae.
GGGCCCAGGGCGGCAGUGGAGCCUUCACACCGCUUCCUCCGCGGGAGCCUUCACACCGCUUCCUCCGCGCGCUGACGGAGGAUUCCUGGCCUCACAGCAGUGCUUGGCCUGUGGGCGUCCCCGGCAGUCCUCGGCUGCGGGACCUGUAUCGGGACUGCGCAAAGUGGGCUUCCAGGAGAGCGGGGCGUCCCUCAGUCAGCUGAGCCUUGGAGCGUGGGGCAGCCCAGGCCCGUGAGGCCGCCAGUGUCACCCUCAGGCCCGCGAGGCCGCCCAGCCCCUUGUGGGGUCCAAGGCCAAUUCUGGAUCAGUCACGAGGCAAGACCGCGGACCCUCAGGAGACCACCAGGAGCCCGCCGCGCAUUCCUCCGCCUCCACCACGCCAGUCACCUGCUCAGCCCGAGGGCAGUCAGCAGCCAUCGCCCCAGUGAGGCGGCCCGUGAGGAGCUGAGGCCGUGACCAGGGCAGCGCCCUGCGAGUCAGCGUCAGUCCCCGCGCCAGCCAGUUCCUCAGACAAUCAGCUCACCAUUCCCAUCACUUAUGCUGGGCAAUCAUCAAUAUACCCGCUGUCAUGCCCUUCAGCUGCCUACCGGGGCAAGUUCACAACCCAGCAAGACCCCCACAAAUUCUCAGACAGCUCUUGGAAAUCUAAUCUACUGAGCUUAUAAAUACACCAACACUUAGAUUCUUCCAGUGUUCCAGGGCAAAUCAGGUUCCAUGUCCUCAGACCCGAGGACAAGACCAGAGGGGCAAGCAGCUCCGGCGUGUCCAGGUUCUCAGAUUCCUUCACCAGAGGCCAUGGAGUCAACAGAGAUGCUGCAAACUUACGGCUAAGGGGUGCCCAAUCAGUGGUUGCUUCACUCAGUGCCGGAUGAGAGAAGAGACCUCAGAAUCAGGCAAGGAUUAAAUUCCAGUCCUGCCCUGACUACCUGAGCGACCUGAACGCAGCCCCAGUGAGGUUCCCGCACCUCGAUGCACCGUGAAACCAUCAAGUCAGCAUGAUUAGCACAUCUGUCAGCUCAAAUAUUUAUCUUUUUUUUUUUUUUUGGUGACAACAUUUAAACUCCUCUCUUUUAGCUAUUUUGAAUUAUUCAAUACAUUACUCUGUCAUUUGAAACAACACAGAUGAACUUAGAGGAUGUUAUGUUGAGUGAAAUAAGCCAGGCACAGAGAGACAAACACGUUACAAUCUCACUAUAUUUGGAAUCUGAAGUAGUCAUCCUCAGAGAAGUAGAGAGGAGAAUAAUGGGUACCAGAGGCCGGGGCGGGGAGUGUGGACCGAUCGGAUGGGGAAAGGGAGAGUUUGGUCAUCAGGCACGCAUUUUCAGUUAGACAAGAGGAAUAAGUUCUGAUGUCCUGUUGCACAGCAUUGAGGGCUGCUAAUUCUACUGGAAUCAGCCUCGGACUCCUUUGCUGGAGGGGUCGUGAACCCUCAAACAAGCCCGAGCCUCUGCAUUUUCUUACUUGGGGAUCUUGAUCUCUGAGUACUCAUUGUUGGUGGCCUCUUGUCUCGAUAGGUCCUGAGGCUCCCCCUUAUGAAAGCUGAGGGAUGCAUACUGGAUCUCUCUUUCCUCCCCUGAGGAGGGGGCAGCCAGGCCAAGGUGUCGGGGGUUAUCGUCUGCCCAGGACUCAAUCAGGGUACCCUGAAUGGAGAGAGAGAAGGGAGUCAGAGCAGAGCAGUGGAAAUAGGAUCAGGCAGGGAGAGUCACAAGUUGUUUGAUUGGUUGGUUGGUUUGGAUAUAUUGCUCUGUAUAGAAUUAAACUUCAUGAGUUCCUGCCUCUA